AUGGCGUGCCUUUUGUAGAAUGAACCGGCGAGUUGCGUUUGCGUGCAAGGUUAAGGCGGGGAGCCGAAGCCGGAGCGAAAGCGAGUCUGAAGAGGGCGAAUGAGUACGCAGGCGCAGACCCGAAACCGGGUGAUCUACCCCUGUCCAGGGUGAAGGUUCGGUAACACGGACUGGAGGCCCGAACCCACGAGCGUUGAAAAGCUCGGGGAUGAGGUGGGGGUAGCGGAGAAAUUCCAAUCGAACUCGGAAAUAGCUGGUUCUCCCCGAAAUAGCUUUAGGGCUAGCCUCGGGUGUAGAGUAGCGGAGGUAGAGCACUGAUAGGGUGCGGGGCCCGCCAAGGGUUACCAAGUCUUGUCAAACUCCGAAUGCCGCAUACUUGCUGCCCGGGAGUCAGACCAUGAGUGCUAAGAUCCAUGGUCAAGAGGGAAACAGCCCAGAUCAUCAGCUAAGGCCCCCAAGUGCGUGUUAAGUGGGAAAGGAUGUGGAGUUGCAAAGACAACCAGGAUGUUGGCUUAGAAGCAGCCAUCAUUCAAAGAGUGCGUAAUAGCUCACUGGUCGAGUGACUCUGCGCCGAAAAUGUAACGGGGCUAAACACGCCGCCGAAGCUAUGGCUACGCACACUUCGUGUGCUGGGGUAGGGGAGCGUCGGGUACGCGUUGAAGUCAGACCGGAAGGACUGGUGGAGUGUACUCGAGUGAGAAUGCCGGUAUGAGUAACGAAAAGAUGGGUGAGAAUCCCAUCCGCCGAAAGCCUAAGGUUUCCUGAGGAAGGUUCGUCCGCUCAGGGUUAGUCGGGGCCUAAGGCGAGGCCGAAAGGCGUAGUCGAAGGACAACAGGUUGAUAUUCCUGUACCACCGUAAGCCGUUAUGAGCGAUGGGGUGACGCAGAAGGACAGUGACGCGGACUGCUGGAAUAGUCCGUCCAAGCAGCGAGGCUGGUGUGCAGGCAAAUCCGCACAUCAUAAGGCUGAGCUGUGACGGGGAGGGAAACUUGUAGUACCGAAGGUCAUGCGUUCUGGCUGCCGAGAAAAGCCUCUAGCCAGGCGAAGGUGCCCGUACCGCAAACCGACACAGGUAGGCAAGCAGAGCAUGCUGAGGCGCGCGGAAGAACUCUCGUUAAGGAACUCGGCAAAAUGACCCCGUAACUUCGGGAGAAGGGGUGCCCCGGUAGGGUGAAUAGCCCGAGGGGGCCGCAGUGAAAAGGCCCAAGCGACUGUUUAGCAAAAACACAGGUCUGUGCGAAGCCGCAAGGCGAAGUAUACGGGCUGACGCCUGCCCGGUGCUGGAAGGUUAAGGGGAGCGGUUAGGUUUAGGCCGAAGCUGUGAACCGAAGCCCCAGUAAACGGCGGCCGUAACUAUAACGGUCCUAAGGUAGCGAAAUUCCUUGUCGGGUAAAUUCCGACCCGCACGAAUGGCGUAACGACUUGGGCGCUGUCUCAACGAGAGAUCCGGUGAAAUUUUAGUACCUGUGAAGAUGCAGGUUACCCGCGACAAGACGGAAAGACCCCAUGGAGCUUUACUGCAGCUUGAUAUUGGACUUUGGUACGGUCUGUACAGGAUAGGUGGGAGCCUGGGAAGCCGGGGCGCCAGCUUCGGUGGAGGCGCCGUUGGGAUACCACCCUGAUCGUAUCGAAGUUCUAACCUGGCACCGUGAUCCGGUGCGGGGACCGUGUCAGGCGGGCAGUUUGACUGGGGCGGUCGCCUCCCAAAGCGUAACGGAGGCGCCCAAAGGUUCCCUCAGAAUGGUUGGAAAUCAUUCGGAGCGUGUAAAGGCAGAAGGGAGCUUGACUGCGAGACUGACAAGUCGAGCAGGGACGAAAGUCGGGCUUAGUGAUCCGGUGGUACCGAAUGGAAGGGCCAUCGCUCAACGGAUAAAAGCUACCCUGGGGAUAACAGGCUUAUCUCCCCCAAGAGUCCACAUCGACGGGGAGGUUUGGCACCUCGAUGUCGGCUCAUCGCAUCCUGGGGCUGAAGUAGGUCCCAAGGGUUGGGCUGUUCGCCCAUUAAAGCGGUACGCGAGCUGGGUUCAGAACGUCGUGAGACAGUUCGGUCCCUAUCUGUCGCGGGCGCAGGAAAUUUGAGAGGAGCUGUCCUUAGUACGAGAGGACCGGGAUGGACGUACCGCUGGUGUACCAGUUGUUCCGCCAGGAGCACCGCUGGGUAGCCAAGUACGGAAGGGAUAAGCGCUGAAAGCAUCUAAGCGCGAAGCCCCCCUCAAGAUGAGAUUUCCCACUGUAAAGGUAAGACCCCUGGAAGAUGACCAGGUUGAUAGGUUCGAGGUGGAAGCGCGGCAACGCGUGAAGCUGACGAAUACUAAUCGGUCGAGGGCUUAUCCUA
This 2335-nucleotide ribosomal RNA is filed under the name Thermobacillus xylanilyticus. RNAcentral's name for it is "23s ribosomal RNA". It matches the Rfam family "Bacterial large subunit ribosomal RNA", at positions 596 to 2925 of the family's 2925-position model. Lineage: Bacteria; Bacillati; Bacillota; Bacilli; Caryophanales; Paenibacillaceae. The record is from RNAcentral.